Molecule: transfer RNA, 85 nt
Filed under: Felis catus (domestic cat)
Lineage: Eukaryota; Metazoa; Chordata; Mammalia; Carnivora; Felidae
Rfam family: tRNA
About the family: Transfer RNA (tRNA) molecules are approximately 80 nucleotides in length. Their secondary structure includes four short double-helical elements and three loops (D, anti-codon, and T loops).
Source: Rfam by way of RNAcentral
GCCUGGGUGGCUCAGUUGGUUAAGCAUCUGACUUCAGCUCAGGUCAUGAUCUCACAGUUCGUGGGUUUGAGCCCUGCGUCAGGCU